Molecule: ribosomal RNA, 253 nt
Filed under: uncultured prokaryote
Description: partial 16S ribosomal RNA
Rfam family: Bacterial small subunit ribosomal RNA
Source: RNAcentral
ACGGAGGGAGCUAGCGUUGUUCGGAAUUACUGGGCGUAAAGCGCACGUAGGCGGCGAUUCAAGUCAGAGGUGAAAGCCCGGGGCUCAACCCCGGAACUGCCUUUGAAACUAGAUUGCUAGAAUCCUGGAGAGGUUAGUGGAAUUCCGAGUGUAGAGGUGAAAUUCGUAGAUAUUCGGAAGAACACCAGUGGCGAAGGCGACUAACUGGACAGGUAUUGACGCUGAGGUGCGAAAGCGUGGGGAGCAAACAGGA